AUUGAACGCUGGCGGCAUGCCUUACACAUGCAAGUCGAACGGCAGCACGGGUGCUUGCACCUGGUGGCGAGUGGCGAACGGGUGAGUAAUACAUCGGAACGUACCUUAUCGUGGGGGAUAACGCAGCGAAAGCUGUGCUAAUACCGCAUACGCCCUGAGGGGGAAAGCGGGGGAUCGCAAGACCUCGCGCGAUUAGAGCGGCCGAUGCCUGAUUAGCUUGUUGGUGGGGUAAAAGCCCACCAAGGCGACGAUCAGUAGGUGGUCCGAGAGGACGAUCGGCCACCCUGGGACUGAGACACGGCCCAGACUCCUACGGGAGGCAGCAGUGGGGAAUUUUGGACAAUGGGGGCAACCCUGAUCCAGCAAUGCCGCGUGAGUGAAGAAGGCCUUCGGGUUGUAAAGCUCUUUUGUCAGGGAAGAAACACCGGCUCUAACACAGUCCGGGAAUGACGGUACCUGAAGAAUAAGCACCGGCUAACUACGUGCCAGCCGCCGCCGUAA
RNAcentral lists this ribosomal RNA (501 nucleotides) under uncultured bacterium. Its description in RNAcentral is "partial 16S ribosomal RNA". It matches the Rfam family "Bacterial small subunit ribosomal RNA", at positions 29 to 523 of the family's 1533-position model. The record is from RNAcentral.